This is a long non-coding RNA of Cuculus canorus (common cuckoo), 1557 nucleotides long. RefSeq lists it as uncharacterized. Lineage: Eukaryota; Metazoa; Chordata; Aves; Cuculiformes; Cuculidae. The transcript is spliced from 3 exons. The record is from RefSeq and is a predicted model, not a curated record.
UCCUGCAGCUCUGUUCUUAAGCCGUGGAGAUUUGUGAAAUUGGUAGACUGCUCCAUAUCAGUAGUAAUUGAUCCUAAAAAUAGUUUAUCCUAAAGUCAUGUUUUCUGUGAAAUGGUAGAAACGGGCAUUACUAUCUUAAAUGGGGACUUGUAGAAAUGAGAAUUCAUUAUUUCUACUCGCUUCCUCUCACGUUUCUAUACAAGUAAUCAAAGCAGUAAUGUAACUUUUCCACCUUUAUAAAAGUUCUGUGCUUAAACCCAUAAGACGGAAAGGCUCUGUAGUUUGCUGUCUACUGCUCAUUACAUUUCCAGCUUUGCUUCUACCAGACUAGCAGAUCACUUUCUUUGCAGGCUGACUUGUCAAAACUAAUUUGCAGCAGUACAAGUGCAGCAGGGUUUAGUAUAGCUCUGGCCCAUAACCUGUGUUCUGAUCUUAUGUUGAAGGCUCAAUCUUUGUUUCUGUUAUGUAUGAACAGAGAACAGAUGUCUUAAAUUCCAGUGCUUUUUGUAAAUCCAUACCAGAGUUUCAGCUUGCAGUUAUAUUGGUAAUUGUUUUGUUUCCUUCCUUCAUUUAUUUAUUUUUUUUAAAAAUGGAAUUCUUCCCAGGAGUAAGUGAUUGGAUUUUGCUGACAGCAGUCCUUCGGCUUCUCCCAGCAUCUAAAUUUGCAGACCUUCAGCUCACCCUGUAGUGCACACCCUUACCUUAUGCCACAUUCUUCAUUCAUAAAAUAUUUCUCAGUACAGUUUCUGAGACCUGCUUGGUCAGAAGCAGGAACACUGAAAAGUUUCAUCAAGCUGAAUUCUUAGUGUUCCUACCUCCUCGAGCCUGAGGCCGCAGACAUCACAAGGGCAGCCGUCUGUCCUGGGGCAGCAGCAGCGAGCAGUGCCUAGCUGUCCUACAAGCUGCCCUGCAAUUCUGUGGCAAACGGGCUUCCCCAGAUACUGGAUCAGGAAGAAGCAUGCAGCCUUGUUGCUCAGUUGCCUCAGCACAUACAGUAGAUCAGCUUUGAGUGCAGAGUCUCCUCUGUGGAACCAGCUGAAGGUGUUUGACGGAGACUGAAAAGCCUUGCUCUUCUGGCUGAAGAUAGGUUUCUUUUCCCAGUUUUAAUUUUGUUCUACAUCUCAAAGAAUGUGUUGAAAACAUAUUGGAGAAGUUGUCUUACAUCCUUGAACGCCCAGCUGAGAGAGGGAGCAAUUGGAGAGUGGGUAGUCCUGUAAGCAGGAACAGAUAAAGCGUCCUGGGGGUGGUAUGUUUGCCCCAGCAACUGAAAUGACCAGCAUUGAGUCCUGUGUACAACUGCAGGCUCUUGAGAGUCUGCCAAAAUAUAUAGCUUACUCUGCAAGAUUCAUGUGAUGGCUUCUUUGGUUCUUUUCAAUUGUGAGUAUUCUGCUUACGUGCCAUCUGAAAUGGCCAAGCUGUUAUUGCAGGGCUCUACCAUCUUUGUUUACCUGACAGUGCUACUUAUCAUCUGUGUCUUGAGUUAAAGCCUAGAGGAAGUUUAAUAAAUGACAUCUGCCUUUGUUUGCAACUUUCACCAGUACUGACUGUUCCUUCUGG